RNA transcript from Mus pahari (shrew mouse), 609 nucleotides. It is a transcript of the gene named translationally-controlled tumor protein pseudogene, with no coding region annotated. Lineage: Eukaryota; Metazoa; Chordata; Mammalia; Rodentia; Muridae. The transcript has a single exon. The record is from RefSeq and is a predicted model, not a curated record.
UUCAACAUCUACAAGAUCUGGGAGAUUGCGGACGGGCUGUGCCUGGAGGUGGAGGGCAAGAUGGUCAGUAGAACAGAGGGUGCCAUCGAUGACUCGCUCAUCGGUGGAAAUGCUUCGGCUGAAGGUCUGGAGGGCGAAGGUACUGAAAGCACAGUAGUCACCGGUGUUGACAUUGUCAUGAACCACCACUUACAAGAAACCAGCUUCACAAAAGAGGCCUACAAAAAGUACAUCAAAGACUACAUGAAAUCACUCAAAGGCAAACUUGAAGAGCAGAAACCAGAAAGAGUAAAGCCUUUUAUGACUGGAGCUGUGGAACAAAUUAAGGACAUCCUUGCUAAUUUCAAUAACUACCAGUUUUUUAUUGGUGAAAACAUGAAUCCAGAUGGUAUGGUUGCUCUCCUGGACUACCAUGAAGAUGGUGUGACUCCAUUCAUGAUUUUCUUUAAGGAUGUCUUAGAGAUGGAAAAAUGUUAACAAAUUGGAUCUAUCACCUGUCACCAUAAUUGGCUGCUGCUUACCAUCCAUAUAACACCAGGACUUAGGACAAAUGGGACUGAUGUCAUCUUGAGCUUUUAUUUUGACCGUGAUUUAUUUGGAGUGGUGGCA